GACGGAGGAUGCAAGCGUUAUCCGGAAUGAUUGGGCGUAAAGCGUUCGCAGGUGGCUGUUCAAGUCUGCUGUCAAAGACCGGGGCUUAACCCUGGAAAGGCAGUGGAAACUGGACGGCUGGAGUGCAGUAUGGGUAAAGGGAAUUCACAGUGUAGCGGUGAAAUGCGUAGAGAUUGGGGAGAACACCGGUGGCGAAAGCGCUCUGCUGGACUGGUACUGACACUGAGGGACGAAAGCUAGGGGAGCGAAAGGG
This 253-nucleotide ribosomal RNA is filed under the name uncultured bacterium. Its description in RNAcentral is "partial 16S ribosomal RNA". It matches the Rfam family "Bacterial small subunit ribosomal RNA", at positions 524 to 776 of the family's 1533-position model. The record is from RNAcentral.